This is a long non-coding RNA of Hyaena hyaena (striped hyena), 1445 nucleotides long. RefSeq lists it as uncharacterized. Lineage: Eukaryota; Metazoa; Chordata; Mammalia; Carnivora; Hyaenidae. The transcript is spliced from 3 exons. The record is from RefSeq and is a predicted model, not a curated record.
ACCUCCAUGGUUCCGAUCCCCUUACCUUCGGUCCAGGAAUCCUAUCCCAUUCUGCCAUCCGAGAAUAAUUUCAGCCACUCUUUUCUGAGCACCUCCACCUGUGUGUGUCCACGUGCCACCUCGAAGCUGACUGCAAGGUUUGGGGCCUGUAGUUCUGGGGUGACACGGCAGGAAUGCUCUGUAAAGGUGACCAGUGGAGAGGCCUAGACAGGGUCUGGGAAGGGUCCAGAUAAAGUCGUCAGAGAAACCGGAGGUGCCUCAGGGCAGGCGGGCCCAGGCAAGCCUCCUGGCUUUGAGGCUGAUUCUACAGCCCAGUAGCUGCGACCCUGGCUCCGAGGAGGAUCCGCAAGUUCUUCCAAAAAACUAAAGCACGAAGUCCUCGGGACCAAAUGAGGCCCCCCGUGGGCACACACAUACAUACCUCAUGCAUACACACGCAUGUGAUAUGCACAUGGAGAGAGAGCCACACCCCGCACGUAGGCCUCCCUUUCCAGUAUCCACAGAGCAUAUCACAAUGAUGUGCUCUUUUUCCCCAGAGAAGAACUCCACCAUUUCCUAAAAGCAGAAAUCGUUCAGACCCUGUUCUCUGACCAGCGUGCAACACUGCAGUCCAGCCUCGCCCUGGGCCCGGGCACUGGUGGUGCACGCGGCUCUGACGCUGGAGGGGAUGGUGCAGAGCAAACAUAACGUGCCAGGGGUGAGGUUUCCUCACUUUGUGGUUCUUCUCCUGCGUUAUCUGCAGGUUUGUUUCGCGAGCUCCCGUGCUGCUGUUUGGCGUACGGCCCCGGGACGGCCUCUCUCCGAAGAGCACUGUCACGGUCACAGUGAGCUAUUUAAUGCCCGCUUCUCGAGUUAGCCUGGAUUGUUUUUAUACUGCAAGCUGCUUCCUUGUUUGAAAGCCUUUCAGUCCAGACUUCCAUAGUCAAUCUUUCACAGAUACAAUUUUUUAUAUAAAUAGGUAGGUUUUAUUUAUUUAUUUAUUUAUGGUUUUGGGGUUUUGGGUUUUUUUUGCUUUGUUUUUUAUUUCAUGCAGAAUUUACUCCCAGGCCAUAAGUUUUCAUCUCUUCGGGUUCCCUGGGACAUCUCUUUCUUCUGUGCAACCCCUUCUUCUGGGUUCAGAAGAAUCUGUUGUCAGAGGUCUCCAAGUGGCAGGGGGAGCUUGCCCACGGGGUUUUCUGGGUCGAGUGAAGAGUCGGCCAUGUUCAGAGAUCCCCUGGUACCACUUACAGGAAAAGCAGCUUUGCUUUGACACCAUCAGACUAUUUUCCACGUCUUGGUGUUCUCGUCCUUGAAGAUGGACCCUGGCUCCCCAUUGAACACUCUCAUCUGCUGGGCCACAUGACGUUUUCUCCUUUAAAUGUUACAUUUGAAAAAACUGCAUGUAUUGUAAUGCUGAGGAGCAGAAAGGGCUGGAGAAAUAAUAAAGUUGACAUGAUUUUUUUUUU